CAUCUGGGGCAUGGGUAUUGGAGCAUGGCCCCGGGGCAGCAGAAGCACGUGAGCGGGCAGUGAGGGGGGCAUAGGGGCAUGCUGCCUGUGUGCACAGCAACAAGAUGGAGCAUGGGUAUUCGGCGUUGAACCGUCCUUCCGGGGCAUGGGUUCGAGCACGGUAAUGUGUACUAUUGAUGCUGCUGGUGGU
Molecule: ribosomal RNA, 190 nt
Filed under: uncultured eukaryote
Lineage: Eukaryota
Description: partial small subunit ribosomal RNA
Source: RNAcentral